Molecule: long non-coding RNA, 531 nt
Organism: Cebus imitator (Panamanian white-faced capuchin)
Lineage: Eukaryota; Metazoa; Chordata; Mammalia; Primates; Cebidae
Exons: 3
Source: RefSeq, a predicted model, not a curated record
AGUUCCAGGGGGUUUUCCUGAGCCUCUCAACAACAGGAGAGACUUGCAGAGCGCGGCAGGAACUGAAAGGGGCUUGCGUGAAUGAAAAAUCCAGAGAAAGGUGUCCUGCGGAACGGGCAGGAUGUGCAAAUAGAGCUGAGGAUGGAACCAACCCAGAGGACAGCAGAGUUAGACAUGGAGAAGGAAUAUGGUCUGAGCACCUGAAUUCCAUCAUGCUGGAGGAGGCCUUCAUUCCCAUGGACUUUUCCAUUAGGUGUGCUGACCCAUCUCGAAUCCUGGCCUGGAUGCUCCUGAAUGUCUCAGCUCUCCCAGGUACCCCUCCUUCCCCAAGCUGGAAUCCUGUUUCUAACUCCGUUUGCUGGGAUGGUCUGCACCUGUGGCCUGCCUCCAGCAGCACGCUCCAUUUGCCAGACAGGAUUUUCUUCCCUCCUUCUUAGUCAGCGGCCCUCUGUGCUGCGUGUCUGAGAACAGCAUCCCAGUUGAUCACUAAUCCAGGUGCCCCGAGCAGGGAGGUGCAUGACCCCAGCUCCA